RNAcentral lists this ribosomal RNA (482 nucleotides) under uncultured bacterium. Its description in RNAcentral is "partial 16S ribosomal RNA". It matches the Rfam family "Bacterial small subunit ribosomal RNA", at positions 29 to 523 of the family's 1533-position model. The record is from RNAcentral.
AAUGAACGUUGGCGGCGUGGAUUAGGCAUGCAAGUCGAGCGCGAUAUGUAGCAAUACAUGGAGAGCGGCGAAAGGGAGAGUAAUACGUAGGUAUCUACCCUCGGGUCUGGGAUAGCAGCGGGAAACUGCUGGUUAUACCAGAUAACGUCUCCGGACCAAAGGCGUGAUUCCACCUGAGGAGGAGCCUACGGCCUAUUAGCUAGUUGGUAGGGUAACGGCCUACCAAGGCAAAGAUGGGUAUGGGGUGUGAGAGCAUGCCCCCACUCACUGGGACUGAGACACUGCCCAGACACCUACGGGUGGCUGCAGUCGAGAAUCUUCGGCAAUGGGCGAAAGCCUGACCGAGCGACGCCGCGUGCGGGAUGAAGGCCUUCGGGUUGUAAACCGCUGUCGUAGUGGAGGAAAUGUAGGAGAGUUAUCUCUUCUACUUGACUAAUACUAGGAGGAAGGACCGGCUAAUCUCGUGCCAGCCGCCGCGGUAA